Molecule: long non-coding RNA, 542 nt
Organism: Capra hircus (goat)
Lineage: Eukaryota; Metazoa; Chordata; Mammalia; Artiodactyla; Bovidae
Exons: 3
Source: RefSeq, a predicted model, not a curated record
GAGUCAAGUCUUCGUGGAGAGAUGGCUGCUGAGCUGGGGCCUGAAGGAAGGAACCCAGCUUCAGUAAUGCUUCAGUGAGGCUGACAGAGCAAAGAUGAGGAAGGAACCUGGGUUCCUGAAUGACUUCAUGGAGUGGAUCACCCACCAAUGUGGACUAGAGAAUGAGAAAACUGCAGCUCAAAGGGGAGACGUGACUUGCCUCAAACCAGAGAAAGUAAAAGGCACAGACUUUUCCACCCCCAGAUAUUGGAGAGAAGAUUCCACAGUUGUGCAUCUUGGAGCUGGGUCACAUCUGGGCCCAUAGCUCUAUCCGAUGGUCUUUAUAAGCUAUCCAGCUAGCCUCCCUUUCUCUUCCCUUCUCCACCACACCAACCCUUGGCGUGUUUGCUCAAGUCCCAUAGACAGGCCCCUGCUUCUUUCUCAGUGGGGGACCUAGCAUCCCAUACUAGGAAAAAAGUCCCUCCAGGGGGCCUUCUUAGCAUCCACUCCCCUUCAGCCUAUAUCCAUCCUUUGUGCAGUGAAGCUGAGUAUAAAAUAAACAA